AUGGGACAUGUGGCAUUUUGCCACUUCCUGUCAGACCUUUUCUCUUCCAUCAGCAACUUCAGCCUGCAGCUUCAGAGAAACAAUGUAAUCCUACCUCAGGCUGUUAGUGGCAUCGAAUCUCUCUUGGCUACCAUAGAAGCUAUGGCAGCUAGCCCCAAACCUGAUGGUAAGCUGUCUGAGUUCCUUGCAGCCAUGAAGAAGCAGCGCCAACAGAGAGGAGGAGAACCUGGGGCUGGGACGUUCAAGUAUCAGGAAGUCACGCUUUCUAAAGGUGAAGCUGCAGAGCGUGCAGAAGGUCAACCAAUCAGCCAGUGUGCUCCCAGACUGCAAAGAGCCGUUGUGCUGACCUGUGAGUCCAAAGUGAAACACCUGAAGAAUAGAUUUAGCAGCCUACUUGAAGAGAACACAAAGGAUGCACCAACAGCCAAGGCAGUGAAGUGUUUCAAUGUCUUCAGCCAUGACUCUUGGCCAGAUAAUAGGCUGGAGCUCCUGAACCAUGGUGUGGAAGAGGUGAACUCUCUCCUACAACACUUCUCCACUGUCCUGGACAGGAAUGGCUGCAGCAAAGAAAAGGCCAAAGAGGAGUUCCAACUGAUGAAAAUGACGAUAAACACGUCAUUCAAGGACAAAAGCUAUCUUGGACUGUGGCAAGUCAUGACGACAAAAGAGCCCUACUGCUCAGACUUUGCGAAUAUCCUACGCCUGGUCCAAAUCAUGCUGGUGCUCCCAAUCUCUUCAGCAGUCUGUGAAAGAGGCUUCUCGUCAGUAAACAGAAUCAAGUCAGAUGCUAGAUCAGUUCAGUUUGAAUUAAUGAGCUUUAAGUUUAUAAGUUAUUUAUUAUGUCGUUUUUAAGUUACCAGUAAGUUCGAUGUUCAGAAUGUUAUGUUCAAUAUACGUUUAAUACAAUGUAACAGUAUUUUUGUACUGCGG
This 930-nucleotide long non-coding RNA is filed under the name Gadus morhua (Atlantic cod). Its description in RNAcentral is "lncRNA (ENSGMOG00000026976.1)". Lineage: Eukaryota; Metazoa; Chordata; Actinopteri; Gadiformes; Gadidae. The record is from RNAcentral.